AUGUCUGUGAGAAUACGCAUUUCUCUGCUUCUCAUAAAGCACUUCCUAUGUUUUUUUUUAGGGCUGAUGCAUGUCCACCCAUAGCACCAUUUACAGCCAUCAUCAAAAGCAUGUGCGAAAAGGGAAGUAGCUUUUGUCCAUCCAGACCACUAGAUGAAUUCAGGUCUAUUUGGCCUGGAGAACCUGCUACAGCCGUGGUCAAGGUCCAGUCAGUUUUAGGCAGUCCCACAGGACCCAAAAGGUGCCAGCACCUGAAGGUAAACAACAUACAGGAGGGCAGCGGGGUCGGACCAGCGUCUGGACUCAGACUCUCCCCACAGACCGAGCCUGUCAAAGCCCGGCUUGUCUGGAUCGCUGAGAGAAGUUGAGCCUCCGCGGCACCUUGGCUUGACACCG
Long non-coding RNA from Gasterosteus aculeatus aculeatus (three-spined stickleback), 396 nucleotides. Lineage: Eukaryota; Metazoa; Chordata; Actinopteri; Perciformes; Gasterosteidae. The record is from Ensembl.